UGCCGUCUAAAUAUAAUUCACAAAAUUGAUAGAGGUGUGUUCACCAAAAAAACUGAGAUGUUAGUUGUUUUUGCAAAUCGAUUCAAGGCUGCAAUAGAUUUCUUCGCCUGUCACACACCAAUACAAAGUCAUGUAUGAUGUACCACAAAACCGGUAAUAAUAAAGUAAAUAACAAGUCAAAACAAAAUCCAAAAAGACAUUCAUAUUUCAAAUACAAGACAUCUUAAACAUUCAAUAAAGAAUAUGGGUGUUGCUUAGAGAGAACAAAAGAGGUUGAGGGUUCAAAGUUCAAAACACUCUUGAUUUAGAGUAAAAGAGAAAAUAACGGAGGAUGGGUGUCACCAGAAAUACUGCAUGAUGUGGAUGCGUGUUGGUCGAAGUCAAACAGCAUGGGUGUCACACAAUUGGUAAAAGCAUGGGAAACUACAUCUGAUUAGGGGUUUUUGAAUAUUCUAAAAAAGAGGGGGGAUAACAACUUUGCUCCUAAUUUCACACACAUCACUCAGUGAGUCACAGUUUUGAGUUCGUGAAGAACCCUAGGGGUCUCAAGCUCUUCCUCUCAGUCGUGCUGGCGGUCGUCCCGACAAAGUGCGUGGUUCCCAUGUGUGGCUUCAUUCCCAAGGUGGAGUGGAAGCGAAGGCUGGUGCUAGCGAGCCCGCGGAGGACAAUGGCGCGUCCAUGCCGCCACGGCACAGGAGCUGCUGCGAAUUUGUGGGGAGAUGCAGGGGAGGUACGAGGAGGUAGAGGUGCGCUGCUGGUGGCGCACUGGCGGACCUGGCCGUCACUGAGGGGUGCUUGUUCGAGGGCCACGACGGAGAUUUCGGGUAGGCGUUGGAGGUUCUUGAUGGCUUUUCCUCUGCUCUCUCUAGAACCUUCAGCUGAGUGACGAUGACCUCAUGGAAAGACGGAGGCUUUUGAAAAUAACGUCUUUGAAUACUUAUAUAGACGACGGUCUUAAAUUAAAAAUCAUCCUUGAUUUACUGUUUCAUCUGUAUAAGGGCGGUUUUCCUGAAAACCGUGUUUGAAAUAUUUCUUAUAUUUAUAAAAAUGUUACGGCUUUGAAAAUAGAGACGGU
RNAcentral lists this long non-coding RNA (1075 nucleotides) under Glycine max (soybean). RNAcentral describes it as "long non-coding RNA (GMAX_LNC002633)". Lineage: Eukaryota; Viridiplantae; Streptophyta; Magnoliopsida; Fabales; Fabaceae. The record is from RNAcentral.